Molecule: ribosomal RNA, 119 nt
Organism: Rhineura floridana
Lineage: Eukaryota; Metazoa; Chordata; Lepidosauria; Squamata; Rhineuridae
Source: RefSeq, a predicted model, not a curated record
GCCUAUGAUAAUACUACCCUGAACACGCCCAAUCUCAUCUGAUCUUGGAAGCUAAGCAGGGUCAGACCUGGAAAGUACUUGGAUGGAAGACCACCUGGGAAUACCGGGUGCCAUAGGCU